Molecule: microRNA, 22 nt
Filed under: Dinoponera quadriceps
Lineage: Eukaryota; Metazoa; Arthropoda; Insecta; Hymenoptera; Formicidae
Description: dqu-miR-11655-5p
Source: miRBase by way of RNAcentral
UGUUCUUUUUAACUGUGUUACU